GACGAACGCUGGCGGCGUGCUUAACACAUGCAAGUCGUACGGUAAGGCCCUUUCGGGGGUACACGAGUGGCGAACGGGUGAGUAACACGUGAGUAACCUGCCCACAACUUUGGGAUAACGCUAGGAAACUGGUGCUAAUACUGGAUAUGUGCUCCUGCUGCAUGGUGGGGGUUGGAAAGCUCCGGCGGUUGUGGAUGGACUCGCGGCCUAUCAGCUUGUUGGUGGGGGAGUGGCCUACCAAGGCGGCGACGGGCAGCCGGCCUGAGAGGGUGACCGGCCACAUUGGGACUGAGAUACGGCCCAGACUCCUACGGGAGGCAGCAGUGGGGAAUAUUGCACAAUGGGCGCAAGCCUGAUGCAGCAACGCCGCGUGCGGGAUGACGGCCUUCGGGUUGUAAACCGCUUUCAGCAGGGACGAAGCUUUUUGUGACGGUACCUGCAGAAGAAGCACCGGCUAACUACGUG
This 465-nucleotide ribosomal RNA is filed under the name uncultured bacterium. RNAcentral describes it as "partial 16S ribosomal RNA". It matches the Rfam family "Bacterial small subunit ribosomal RNA", at positions 28 to 507 of the family's 1533-position model. The record is from RNAcentral.